RNAcentral lists this long non-coding RNA (516 nucleotides) under Lupinus angustifolius (narrow-leaved blue lupine). RNAcentral describes it as "long non-coding RNA (LANG_LNC001991)". Lineage: Eukaryota; Viridiplantae; Streptophyta; Magnoliopsida; Fabales; Fabaceae. The record is from RNAcentral.
UAUAUUAGAUACCAUACAAAUAUGUCAAAUUCAGUUAUGAUUUCACCUAGUAUUCAUGACAUGUAAAUUUAAAAGGAAAAAGGUGAUAGUAGGAUAUUUCAUCUAAUUCCUGCUCUUUUCUUUUGCUAUUGUGCAGUUGAAGUGUUAGUGCUUGAGAAGGGUAAAGACUUAGAUUUUCUGGUACUUGUAUGUUGGCAUAUUUUAUUAUAGAAGAUGGAUGCUAAAGCCUAAACUCUAAAGGGAAUAUAAGCAGAGGGGUAUAGAGGGAAUUUAAGUAUACCUUGGUACUAUUUAGUGGCUUAGUAGAAAUUUAUAAGGUACCCUCUAUCUCUUGAAAGGUUGUAUGACCUGCUUAGUUUGUGUACUAAUUAAGACUCGAGUAUUACACUUUGACAUGUUGUCAACCUUUGUUUACUUUCCAUAUUUCAUGUCUAUUAUCCUGUAAGAUAGGCUUCCAAGUUUAUUUGACAUAUGUAUUGAUAAUCUAUUCUCUUAACUCAAUUAUAUUUUCAACUA